This 430-nucleotide ribosomal RNA is filed under the name uncultured bacterium. RNAcentral describes it as "bacterial SSU rRNA". It matches the Rfam family "Bacterial small subunit ribosomal RNA", at positions 28 to 461 of the family's 1533-position model. The record is from RNAcentral.
GAUGAACGCUGGCGGCGUGCUUAAUACAUGCAAGUCGAACGGAGAUAGUAGCAAUAUUAUCUUAGUGGCGAACGGGUGAGUAACGCGUUGGUGACCUGCCCCGAAGAGAGGGAUAGCAGUUCGAAAGGACUGAUAAUACCUCAUGUGGUUGAAGGUUUUAGAAUCCUUCAACUAAACGGAUUUAUUCGCUUCGGGAGGGGCCUGCGUCCCAUCAGCUAGUUGGUAGGGUAAUGGCCUACCAAGGCGAUGACGGGUAGGGGACCUGAGAGGGUGGCCCCCCACAAUGGAACUGAAACACGGUCCAUACACCUACGGGUGGCAGCAGUAGGGAAUAUUGGUAAUCUGCGAAAGCGGGAACCAGCAACGCCGCGUGCACGAUGAAGGCCUUCGGUCGUAAGUAGCUUUAGUAGAGGAUGAGGAAGGACGAGUA